AAACUUGAGAGUUUGAUCCUGGCUCAGAACGAACGCUGGCGGCAGGCUUAACACAUGCAAGUCGAGCGCGUAGCAAUACGAGCGGCAGACGGGUGAGUAACGCGUGGGAAUCUACCCAUCUCUACGGAACAACUCCGGGAAACUGGAGCUAAUACCGUAUACGUCCUUUUGGAGAAAGAUUUAUCGGAGAUGGAUGAGCCCGCGUUGGAUUAGCUAGUUGGUGGGGUAAUGGCCUACCAAGGCGACGAUCCAUAGC
The sequence is a non-coding RNA, 256 nucleotides long. It matches the Rfam family "Bacterial small subunit ribosomal RNA", at positions 1 to 287 of the family's 1533-position model.